GUAGGGGCCAAGCGUUAUCCGGAUUUAUUGGGCGUAAAGAGCUCGUAGGCGGCUUGGCAAGUCGGUCGUGAAAGUCCGAGGCUCAACCUCGGAAUGCCGGUCGAAACUGCCAUGGCUAGGGUUCGGUAGAGGAGAGUGGAAUUCUCGGUGUAGCGGUGAAAUGCGCAGAUAUCGAGAGGAACACCAGUAGCGAAGGCGGCUCUCUGGGCCGAUACCGACGCUGAGGAGCGAAAGCGUGGGGAGCAAACAGGGAUUAGAUACCCUGGUAGUCCACGCCGUAAACGGUGAUCACUAGGUGUGGCGGACUCAUUGACGUCUGCUGUGCCGGCGCUAACGCAUUAAGUGAUCCCACCUGGGGAGUACGGCCGCAAGGCUA
This 376-nucleotide ribosomal RNA is filed under the name uncultured organism. Its description in RNAcentral is "partial 16S ribosomal RNA". It matches the Rfam family "Bacterial small subunit ribosomal RNA", at positions 527 to 896 of the family's 1533-position model. The record is from RNAcentral.